GCGGGGGUGCCCGAGUCAGGGCAAAGGGGGCGGACUGAGGCUCCGCUGGCGAAGGCCUGCACGGGUUCAAAUCCCGUCCCCCGCA
RNAcentral lists this transfer RNA (85 nucleotides) under Saccharolobus islandicus M.14.25. Its description in RNAcentral is "tRNA-Leu (GAG) (tRNA-Leu-GAG-1-1)". It matches the Rfam family "tRNA". Rfam says of the family: Transfer RNA (tRNA) molecules are approximately 80 nucleotides in length. RNAcentral also lists the same sequence under 1 other name. The record is from RNAcentral. Lineage: Archaea; Thermoproteati; Thermoproteota; Thermoprotei; Sulfolobales; Sulfolobaceae.